RNAcentral lists this ribosomal RNA (437 nucleotides) under uncultured bacterium. RNAcentral's name for it is "partial 16S ribosomal RNA". It matches the Rfam family "Bacterial small subunit ribosomal RNA", at positions 29 to 507 of the family's 1533-position model. The record is from RNAcentral.
AUGAACGCUGGCGGUAUGCUUAACACAUGCAAGUCGAACGCAGACUUUCGGGUCUGAGUGGCGGACGGGUGAGUAACGCGUGAGAAUCUGGCUUCAGGUUGGGGACAACCACGGGAAACGGUGGCUAAUACCCAAUGUGCCUAUAAGGUGAAAGUUUAAUUGCCUGAAGAUGAGCUCGCGUCUGAUUAGCUAGUUGGUGGGGUAAGAGCUCACCAAGGCGACGAUCAGUAGCUGGUCUGAGAGGACGAUCAGCCACACUGGGACUGAGACACGGCCCAGACUCAUACGGGAGGAAGCGGUGGGGAAUUUUCCGCAAUGGGCGAAAGCCUGACGGAGCAAUACCGCGUGAGGGAGGAAGGCUCUUGGGUUGUAAACCUCUUUUCUCAGGGAAGAAGGCAAUGACGGUACCUGAGGAAUCAGCAUCGGCUAACUCCGUG